Molecule: ribosomal RNA, 1343 nt
Filed under: uncultured bacterium
Lineage: Bacteria
Description: 16S ribosomal RNA
Rfam family: Bacterial small subunit ribosomal RNA
Source: RNAcentral
GACGAACGCUGGCGGCGUGCUUAACACAUGCAAGUCGAACGGAAAGGCCCUGCUUUUGUGGGGUGCUCGAGUGGCGAACGGGUGAGUAACACGUGAGUAACCUGCCCUUGACUUUGGGAUAACUUCAGGAAACUGGGGCUAAUACCGGAUAGGAGCUCCUGCUGCAUGGUGGGGGUUGGAAAGUUUCGGCGGUUGGGGAUGGACUCGCGGCUUAUCAGCUUGUUGGUGGGGUAGUGGCUUACCAAGGCUUUGACGGGUAGCCGGCCUGAGAGGGUGACCGGCCACAUUGGGACUGAGAUACGGCCCAGACUCCUACGGGAGGCAGCAGUGGGGAAUAUUGCACAAUGGGCGGAAGCCUGAUGCAGCAACGCCGCGUGCGGGAUGACGGCCUUCGGGUUGUAAACCGCUUUCGCCUGUGACGAAGCGUGAGUGACGGUAAUGGGUAAAGAAGCACCGGCUAACUACGUGCCAGCAGCCGCGGUGAUACGUAGGGUGCGAGCGUUGUCCGGAUUUAUUGGGCGUAAAGGGCUCGUAGGUGGUUGAUCGCGUCGGAAGUGUAAUCUUGGGGCUUAACCCUGAGCGUGCUUUCGAUACGGGUUGACUUGAGGAAGGUAGGGGAGAAUGGAAUUCCUGGUGGAGCGGUGGAAUGCGCAGAUAUCAGGAGGAACACCAGUGGCGAAGGCGGUUCUCUGGGCCUUUCCUGACGCUGAGGAGCGAAAGCGUGGGGAGCGAACAGGCUUAGAUACCCUGGUAGUCCACGCUGUAAACGGUGGGUACUAGGUGUGGGGUCCAUUCCACGGGUUCCGUGCCGUAGCUAACGCUUUAAGUACCCCGCCUGGGGAGUACGGCCGCAAGGCUAAAACUCAAAGGAAUUGACGGGGCCCCGCACAAGCGGCGGAGCAUGCGGAUUAAUUCGAUGCAACGCGUAGAACCUUACCUGGGUUUGACAUGGAUCGGGAGUGCUCAGAGAUGGGUGUGCCUCUUUUGGGGUCGGUUCACAGGUGGUGCAUGGCUGUCGUCAGCUCGUGUCGUGAGAUGUUGGGUUAAGUCCCGCAACGAGCGCAACCCUUGUUCACUGUUGCCAGCACGUUAUGGUGGGGACUCAGUGGAGACCGCCGGGGUCAACUCGGAGGAAGGUGGGGAUGACGUCAAGUCAUCAUGCCCCUUAUGUCCAGGGCUUCACGCAUGCUACAAUGGCUGGUACAGAGAGUGGCGAGCCUGUGAGGGUGAGCGAAUCUCGGAAAGCCGGUCUCAGUUCUGAUUGGGGUCUGCAACUCGACCUCAUGAAGUCGGAGUCGCUAGUAAUCGCAGAUCAGCAACGCUGCGGUGAAUAAGGUCCCGGG